UUGCCUGUGGAGCGUGGCGAACAUCAAAGCAUGGGAAGUGGUGGAGAAGUCACAUUGAAGAUCGUGUAAUUAUAUAGCAAAAUCCAUUGUCAACCACGAAAUUGAAACCGAACAAUCCAAACGUCGGCUGACUGUCACUCAAAAAAACCAAAAACAGCAAACAAAAAAAAACGGAGAAAAAAUAUGGAGAAAAACUAAGCACUAAGCUCAAUGUCGGGCACCGUCAUCCAUUCGAGCAUCGCGAUUGGCUUUAUGAUUUCAGAGUCUUAUUGCUCAAUUAACUCGGGGAUCUGGCCUCUUGGCCCACGGCCUGGAAAAUGAAAAUACUCAGCCGAACAAUAAAAGAGUUUCCAAUGCACAGUUUCCAGCUUCGGCGACACACAUGCAAAUCUGAAUUCACUAUACCCACUAUGCCAUACAGACUGUGACACAAGUGCUUCCUUGUCACUCGAACGAGGCGUCUGUCUGUCACUGCUCCGAAGUUGUAUCUUCUCGAGCUGCGCCUAGUGGCUGAUAUGGAUUGCUUGGCAGAAGGCGUGGAACAGUGGUCUCUUCUCUUACUAUCACUGGAUUUAGUACUGUACGAGUAUAAAGUAUGAUUGAAUGCUGAUUCCCAACCAGUGCUUUCCAGUAUCUGUGCAUUUCAGCGAAUCCAACCACUGUCUCCCAAAGUCGCAAUCAACGCCACAUCAUCAUCAUCAUCUGCGUCGUGGGCGCAAAGCAUCAUCUCCGCGCUGCUGCCACGCAUUGCUGAUUCCUCAAGUUUUAUUACUCGCCAUGGCAAUUGGGUUGAUCAUCAUUGUGGCAGCUUCGUGGCAGCAUCGUUGUGCGGCAUGACAGACGGAAAAACGCACUUGGCCUGGGCGACAGAGCGGCUCAAUUAGGCUGCCCACCACUUGAGUCGACUGCUGGUACACUAGCCAGCAGGGUUUUGGGGCUUGUCGAGUGAUUAGAGACAGCCAACACAGCACCUUGGCUACCCACCACCAGCCAGCAGGAGAUCUUCCUACCUUAUAAACAGAUGACAUUUCCAGCAGACACCGAAGCAAUUAUCAGGCGAAUUGGCCAUAAAUCCAGGCAGCGGCAGCAACUGUUUCAUAAAUCACAGAACGUUUGCUAUUUGUGAAAAGUCAUAGUGAUUUGAUUUAGGACGGAAAUUAAUCAGAUGAGCCAUGACAAAUGCCUAAACGUUUGUUUAGCGCAUUUAACUCUGCAACAAAAGCCCUGCCGGCCAAUAGUAAAAAUAUGAGCAAAUAAUGAGCUUAGAAAAUUUUACGAUCCAGCCAUCGGCCAGUGACAAAACUGAGAGAAAAGAGGGAUAUGGAAAAGCUGGGGAAGUACACUGCAAACACAAGGCAUUCUCAACUAUUCGACUGUAAAUCAGCUUUUGCU
This 1392-nucleotide small RNA is filed under the name Drosophila yakuba. RNAcentral describes it as "GE28142". Lineage: Eukaryota; Metazoa; Arthropoda; Insecta; Diptera; Drosophilidae. The record is from RNAcentral.